ACGCCAUCUUGCCACUAAACCUGAUUUACCAACAUAACCUGUUUCUGGCCAUGCUGUGAAUCUGCAUUCUUUACUGUGUCCUUGGGAUACUAGGAGGAACCAGAGGAGCAGAUCCUGCUAGGAGGCUAAGCAUGAAGAAGGAAUUCAAAGAAACCUUGUGGAGAACGAAGACACAGCAGGGAGUCUCUGAUCAAGUGCCACAUCUUUAGAGAAGCUUUUCCAAACAACCGUAACUUUUCAGACAUGAAUUGGAAUAAGAUAAGGCCAACUUGCUCAACUACAUUCCUUACUAAAACAUAAUAACUAAAAGCUACAGUGUGCAUUUCAUGUUUCACAUGUUCUGUUGCAGUGCCAAGACUAGGUUUAAGCAAUUCAGCUGCACAGUUACCAACCACUUCUUCUUGGAAGAUUUACCUACAAUCUAACUGAUAUACUUAACAAAAUUAUAUUUUUAAUAUUGAUUGUACAAUUUUUUACUCCUUAAUUGUAUCUGACAGCUUCUUAUACUUUAAACUUGAUCAACAGUAAAUUGUGAAGAGAGUAACUAUACACCACAUGGCUUGACAAUAUCCAAACAUCAUUCUUGUUCUACAAAAGUUACAAAUGGCUCCUAAGUGACAUCUCCAGGUGCAGGGGCAAACCAGAUGAAUAGGGCCUGAAGUGAACCCCCAGCAAACCACAGCAGCCCUACAACCCUGCAGAAGAGGGACCUGACCAUUGAAAGAAAACCAAACAAACAGAAAGCAACAACAGCAUCAACAAUAAAAAAAAAAGUUUCCACAAAAACCCCACCCAAGGGUCAGCAUCCUCAAAGAUCAAAAGUAGACAAACUCAUGAAAAUGAGAAAGAGUCAAAGAAAAACACUGAAAACCCAAAAGCCCAGAGUGCCUCUUCUCCAAAUGUUUGCAACACGCUCCAGCAAGGGUACAGAAAUGGACUGAGGAUGAGAUGGAGAAACUGAUGGAAGUAGGCUUCAGAAGAUGGGUAAUAACAAACUCCGCUGAGCUAAAGAAGCAUGUUCUAAUCCAAUGCAAAGAAGCUAAACACCUUGAUAAAAGGUUAGAGGAGCUGCUAACUAGAAUAACCAGUUUAGAGAGGAACAUAAAUGACCUGAUGGAGCUAAAAAACACAGCAUGAGAACUUUGUGAAGCAUACACAAGUAUCAAUAGCCGAACUGACCAAGUGGAAGAAAGGAUAUCAGAGUUUGAAGACCACAUUGCUGAAAUAAGGCAUGCAGACAAGAUUAGAGAGAAAAGAAUGAAAAGGAAUGAACAAAGAGUUCGAGAAAUGUGGGACUAUGUAAAAAGACCGAACCUAUGAUUGAUUGGAGUACCUGAAGGAGACGGGGCAAUGUAAACAAGCUGGAAAACACACUUUAGGGUAUUAUUCAGGAGAACUUCUCCAACCUAGCAAGAAAAGCCAACAUUCAAAUUCAGGAAAUACAGAAAACACCACUGAGAUACUCCACAAGAAGAUCAACCCCAAAACACGUAAUCGUCAGAUUCUCCAUGGACAAAAUGAAGGAAAAAAUGUUAAGGGCAGCCAGAGAGAAAGGCCAGGUCACCUACAAGGGGAAGCUCAUCAGACUAACAGUGGACUUCUCAGAAAUCCUAGAAGCCAGAAGAGAUUGGGGGCCUAUAUUCAACAUUCUUAAAGAAAAGAAUUUUCAACGCAGAAUUUUAUAUCCAGCCAAACUAAGCCUCAUAAGCAAAGGAGAAAUAAAAUCCUUUCCAGACAAGCAAAGGCUGAGAGAUUUUGUCACCACUAGGCCUGCCUUGCAAGAGCUCCUGAAAGAAGCACUAAAUAUGGAAAGGAAAAUCUGGUACCAGCCACUGCAAAAACACACCAAAAUAUAAAGACCAAGGACACUAUGAAGAAACUGCAUUAACUAGUGUGCAAAAUAACUAGAUAGCAUCAUGAUCACAGGACCAAAUUCACACAUAACAAUACUAAUCUUAAAUGUAAAUAGGCUAAAUGCCCCCAGUUGAAAGACACAGACUGGCAAAUUGGAUAAAGAGUCAAGACCCAUCCAUGUGCUGUAUUCAGGAGACACAUCUCACAUGCAGAUGCAUACAGGCUCAAAAUAAAGGGAUGGAGGAAAGUUUAAAAAAAAAAAAGCAGAGGUUGCAAUCCUAGUCUGACAAAAGAGACUUCACACCAACAAAGAUCAAAAAAGACAAAGAAGGACAUUACAUAAUGGUAAAGAGAUCAAUUCAUCAAGAAGAGCAAUUGGGUGCAUAUAUCUAUAUAUGCAUGCAAUACAGGAGCACCAAGAUUCAUAAAACAAGUUCUUAGAGACCUACAGAAGACUUAUCCUUCCACACAAUAAUAGUGGGAGACUUUAACACCCCACUGUCAAUAUUAGACAGAUCAACAAGACAGAAAAUUAACAAGAAUAUUCAGAACUUGAACUCAGCUCUGAAUCAAGUGGACCUAAUAGACAUCUACAGAACUCUCCACCCCAAAUCAACAGAAUAUACAUUCUUCUUAGUGCCACAUGGCACUUAUUCUAAAAUUGCCCACAUAAUUGGAAGUAAAACACUCCUCAGCAAAUCCAAAAGAACUGAAAUCAUAACAGUCUCUCAGACCACAGUGCAAACAAUUUAGAACUCAGGAUUAAGAAACUCACUCAAAAUCACACAAUUACAUGGAAAUGGAACAACCUGCUCCUGAAUGACUCCUGGGUAAAUAAUGAAAUUAAGGCAGAAGUUUCUUUGAAACCAAGGAGAACAAAGAGACAACAUACCAGAAUCUCUGGGACACAGUUAAACAGUGUUAAGAGAGAAAUUUAUGGCACUAACUGCCUGCAUCAGAAAUCUAGAAAGAUCUCAAAUUAACCCCCUAACAUCACAACUAAAGGAGCUAGAGAGGCAAGAACAAACUAAUCCAAAAGCUAGCAGAAAACAUGAAAUAACUAAGAUCAGAGCAGAAUUGAAGGAGAUACAGACACAAAAAGCCUUCCAAAAAAAAUCAGUGAAUCCAGGAGCUGGCUUUUUGGAAAAAUUAAGAAAACAGAUAGACUGCUAGCUAGACUAAUAAACAAGGAAAGAGAGAAGAGUCAAAUAGACACAAUAAAAAAUGAUAAAGGGGAUAUCAUCACUGACCCCACAGAAAUACAAAGUACCAUCAGAGAAUACUAUAAACACCUCUAUGCAAAGAAACUAGAGACUGUAGAAGAAAUGCAUAGAUUUUCUGGACACAUAGACCCUCCCAAGACUAAACCAGGAAGAAACUGAAUCCUUGAGUAGACCAAUAGCAAUUUCUGAAAUUCAGGCAGUAAUUGCUAGCCUACUAACCCAAAAAAGCUCAGGACCAUGAUUCACAGCUGAAUCCUAUCAAGGUACAAAGAGGAACCAGUACCAUUCCUUCUGAAACUAUUUAAAACAGUUGAAAGGAGGGACUCCUCCCUAACUCAUUUUAUGAAGCCAGCAUCAUCCUGAUACCAAAACCUGGCAGAGACAUAACAAAAAAAGAAAACUUCAGGCCAAUAUCCCUUAUGAACAUAAAUGCUAAAAUCCUCAAUAAACUACUGGCAAACUGAAUCCAGCAGUAUAUCAAAAAACAUAUCCACCAUGAUCAAGUCAGCUUCAUCCCUAGGAUGCAAGGCUGGUUCAACAUAUGCAAAUCAAUUAACGUCAUGCAUCACAUAAACAGAACCAAUGACAAAAACCACAUGAUUAUCUCAAUAGAUUCAGAAAAGGCCUUUGAUAAAAUUCAACAUCCUUUCAUGUUAAAUACGCUCAAUAAAGUAGGUAUUGAUAGAACAUAUCUCAAAAUAAUAAGAACUAUUUAUAACAAACCCACAGCCAGUAUCAUAUUGAAUUUGCAAAAGCUGGAAGAAUUCCCUUUGAAAACAGGUACAAUACAAGGAUGCCCACUCUCACCACUCCUAUUCAACAUAGUAUUGGAAGUUCUGGUCAGGGCAAUCAGGCAAGAGAAAGAAAUAAAGUGUAUUCAAAUGGGAAGAGAGGAAGUCAAAUUGUCUCUGUUUGCAGAUGACAAGAUUCUAUAUUUAUAAAACCCCAUCAUCUCAGCCCAAAAACUCCUUAUGCUGAUAAACAACUUCAGCAAAGUCUCAGGAUGCAAAGUCAAUGUAUAAAAAUCACAAGCAUUCCUAUAUACCAACAACAGACAAGCAGAGAGCCAAAUCAUGAAUGAACUCCCAUUCAUAAUUGCUACAAAGAGAAUAAAAUACCUAGGAAUACAGAUAGAAAGGGAUGUGAAGAACCUCUUCUAGAAGAACUACAAACCACUGCUCAAGGAAAUAAGAGAGGACACAAACAAAUGGAAAAACGUUCCAUACUCAUGAAUAGGAAGAAUCAAUAUUGAGAAAAUGGCCACAGUGCCCAAAGUAAUUUAUAGAUUCAAUGCUAUUCCCAUCAAACCAUCAUUGACGUUCUUCACAGAAUUAGAAAAAAAAAUAAUUUUAAUUUCAUAUGGAACCAAAAAGGAGCCUGUAUAGCCAACACAAUCAUAAGCAAAAAAAAAGCUGGAGGUAUCAUGCUACCUGACUUCAAACUAUACUACAAGGCUACAGUAACCAAAACUGCAUGGUACUUGUACAAAAACAGACAUAUAGACCAAUGGAACAAAACAGAGACCUCAGAAAUAACACCACACAACUACAACCAUCUGAUUUUUGACAAUCUGACAAAAACAAGCAAUGGGGAAAGAAUUUCCUAUUCAAUAAAUGGUGCUGGAAAAACUGGCUAGCCAUAGGCAGAAAACUGAAACCAGACCCCUUCCUUACACCUUAUACAAAAAAUAACACAAGAUGGAUUAAAGACUUAAAUGUAAAACCUCAAACCAUAAAAAUCCUAGAAGAAAACCUAGGCAAUACCAUUGAGAACAAAGGCAUGGGCAAAGACUUCAGGACAAAAAUGCCACAAGCAAGAGCAACAAAAGCCAAAAUUGAAAAUGGGAUCUAAUUAAACUGAAGAGCUUCUGCAUAGCAAAAGAAACUAUUAUAAGAGUGAACCGGUAUCCUACAGAAUGGGAGAAAAUUUUUGCAAUCUAUCCAUCUGACAAAGGUCUAAUAUCCAGAAUUUACAAGGAACUGAAACAAAUUUACAAGAAAAAAUAACCCCAUCAGAAAGUGGGUGAAGGAUAUGAACAGACACUUAUCAAAAGAAGACAUUUGUGCCACCAACAAACAUAUAAAAAAAAAUCUCGACAAAACUGAUUAUUAGAGAAACACAAAUCAAAACCACAAUGAGAUACCAUCUCAUGCCAGUCAGAAUGGCAAUUAUUGAAAAGUCAAGAAACAAUAGAUGCUGGCGAGGCUGUAGAGAAAUAGAAACGCUUUCACACUGUUGGUGGGAAUGUAAAUUAGUUCAACCAUUAUGGAAGACAGUGUGGCAAUUCCUCAAGGAUCUAGACCCAGAAAUACCUUUUAACCCAGCCAUCCUAUUACUGGGUAUAUACCCAAAGGAAUAUAAGUCAUUCUACUGUAAAGACACAUGCACACAUAUGUUUAUUGCAGCACUAUUUACAAUAGCAAAGACAUGGAACCAACCCAAAUGCCCAUCAAUGAUAGACUGGAUAAAGAAAAUGUGGUACAUAUACACCAUGAAAUAUUAUGCAGCCAUAAAAACAAAUGAGAUCAUUUCCUUUGCAGGGACAUGGAUGAAGCUGAAAGCCAUCAUCCUCAGCAAACUAACACAGGAACAGAAAACCAAACAUCACAUGUUCUUGCUCAUAAGGGAGAGUUGAACAACGAGAACACAUGGACACUGGCAGGGGAACAUCACAUACCAGGGCCUGUCAGGGGAUGGGGGGUGAGGGGAGGGAACAUAGAAGACUAGUAAAUACAUGCAGCAAACCACCAUGGCACACAUAUACCUAUGUGACCAGCCUGCACAUUCCACACGUGUUUCUGAGAACUUAAAGUAAAAUUUAAAAAAAGAAAAGAGGUUUAAUUGCCUCACAGUUUUGCAUGUCUUGGGAGGCCUCAGGAAACUUACGAUCAUGAGAGAAGCCAACCUGAUUCAGACUCUGGAAAUGUCUCUUGGUGGUCAGAAGAGAAUGUAGCCUAGUGAAAUGGAUUAGUGAAAUACACUGGGGUGGUUUUGAUAGACAGGAACCAAAGAUAUGAAGGACCUCAUAGACACAGGUUAAGAAGCUCUAAAAAUAUGAGUAAACCAGAUGGCUUUUAAAUUAAGGAGUUUCUUGGUCAGGUCACUGUGAAAAUCUCUCUGACAGUUCUGUGAAACAAUGAAUUGGAAACAAGAACCAAUCCAAGUAGGGGAAAAUAAGAACUUUAAGUAGGGCAGAAGAUAACAGAACUUGAACUCAAGCAGAUGGGAGUGGGAUAUACGUGUGAAUGUGAUUUCAGCAGUACAAUCAACAAAGCUUGGAAGAGUAAGGGGAAAGAAGUUGUGAGGAAAUAUAACCAGAAGACAAAAGGAGGAUGAUCUGAUGAUAAUAAACUGGGGUUGUAAUUUAGCAAGGCGUUUUGGUUGAGAUUAUUCUUAGCAUCUCUGUGUCAUUGGCUCUCCUCCUCUGAGAAUAGGCAGGACUCCUCUUGAAUGUGGAUUUUAUGACUUGCUUCAGGAGAGAAGGGCAAGGUGAAGGACAAAGUGACAUUCCCAGUUCUGCUGUUUUUUCAAAUGCCAGGUGCCAUAUUUUGGGGUUGCCUGUCCUGAAUACAAUCAGAAGUGUGAUAUGUUUGAGUGAGUGUGAGUACUGGGAUAAGAGAGUCUAAGACAGACUGGAUGAUCUAAGAUCAUGGUGGUAAGGGAAAACAAGAAGUAGAUUUGGGGAAAUACAAAAUAUUUGAAUAUACUGAUUUUGAAAUUGGCAGAAAAAAAUAUAUUACCAGUAUCCAGCAUAAUUGACACAAAGUGGGUACUACAUGUCCAGAUCAAACAAACAGAAUUUCU
This 6881-nucleotide long non-coding RNA is filed under the name Homo sapiens (human). RNAcentral describes it as "non-protein coding lnc-DIAPH2-16:7". The record is from RNAcentral. Lineage: Eukaryota; Metazoa; Chordata; Mammalia; Primates; Hominidae.